ACUCUCGAGCGCCGGCCCCAGGAUGACAAUCACAUCCCAGGAGCGCCGAUCUCUUCCAACUUUCCUCUUCUGCUAACUCGGGGCCGAGUGGCAGUCCCGACGCACGGCCGGCCUGCAGCGGGUUCCGCCGCCCCGAAGCACAAAGGGAACAAGGCCACAGGCUGUGCGCCGGCGAAGGCUCUGCGCUCUCCUAGCCACAGUAGAUCGCGGACUUAGCGGAUUUCUUGUUCUUCCGCAGGCUGGGCUCCGAGGCCAUUCGUUGCCCACCCCCCUCUGGCGUCUUCCCCAAGCCAGGGGGCCCGGAGAGCCAGCUAGAGAUCCGGAAUGAAAGUCUCUGGGAGAGCCGAUGGAUGGCCCGCGCCGAGGGCGCAGGAAGUCGGGAAUGACUGCCCCUCUGCGCCGGCAGCAGCAGGUGGGCGAGAGACAGGCCUCAGACGUCUGCACGUCUCCGCCUCGCCUUCCUUUACCGACCCCCCGCCGGACGGCGAGGGAGAAGACACUGGUUCCUGGAACUACCGGGCCACGGACGCACUCGAACUCUGGGACAGACAGGGGCGCUGGUGAACAAGGACAGAAGAUGGCACAGGUUUGGGCACGCCGCGGAAGCUCGGGAUAUCGGGAACUUCGCAUAAUGGGGCCACACGCAAGCCGAAGCAUAACUAUAUACAAAGUUUCUCGCAUUGACUUUGACGGGCGAGAUGUACUUUAUUUCGCGAGCUCACACUAACCCACCGCCGCACCGGCACCCGCUCGGUGCUGCCCUCUCGUGCACGCGCGUUGGCUCCUCCCCUCCGUCUGCUCCCCUCUAGGGAGCACCGCCCACCAAGAGGCCUGAGCGGUUCAGACUACAUUCUCCGAGAGCCCCUGGGUCCGCCCAGCCCAGUGCCUGACACCUCCUUCACCUAUGAUUGGGCGCUGGCCUCCCUGGGCUCCGCCCCCUGGUGACGUAACCCCGCUUUCCUCCGAGUCUCGGCGCCAAAGGGGCGGGGCGGGGCGGGGUCUCGAUCGCGCUAUUGUCAUGGAGACGGGAAGCUGGCUGCAGCGGCGGCGGGGACCGUGGGACCGAGGUGGCUGCCAGCCGGCCAAUGUCUAAGCGAGGAGGAGCGGCCCAGGCAGCCCGAGCCUGGGGGAGCGCGCAGCCGGCCAGUGGCGGCCUCUUCCCGGGCUCGCAGUAGGCCCGAGUCGUCGCUGGGAGCUCCCGGGAGCAGCGUCCCCGCCCUGCUCCCCUCGCUCCCGCCUCUUGCGGCCCCACGGCCCCUCAGCGCCCGCCCCCGGCUCCGCCCGCCGCAGCCGCAGCCCCUGGCGCUAACGGUCGGUAACGGCCCGCGCGCGCCGCCCGCCGGGGGCUCGCGCCAGCCACGAGGGAGCGUCCGCGGCCCGCGCGGCGGAGGAGAGGUGUUAAGUGUGAUGCUUCCAUAAUACAUUUGGAUGUUGUCAGCUAAGUUCACUUCUGAACUAAGGGGUUCCUCCAAAUGUUGGCUGAAAUUCAUCCCAAGGCUCAUCUGCAAUUACCGAUUUCUUUUAAGAAUAAAUUUAGUGGGAAUAUCAGUUCCAGUCAUGGGUACUAAACUUUUUUAGUGACAGAGGACACACAGAGUCUACAAUUCAUAAUGGAGCUACUGUACUGGCUAUUGGAAGGAGGAGAUUCUGAAGAUAAGGAGUCCAUCAAGGUGUCUGAAGAUUUUCUGCCUAAGUAUCUCCAUAUCUAACUUGAUAAGGAAAAUUGGAUAAACAAUGCUGGUAAUAGCAGGAAAGUAAAACCUGUUUAGAAAUUAAAAAUGAGUUACGAUUUAAAGAAAAUUCAGAUGACUCAUUGUGAGUGCUAGUUCUCUUGUAGGAUGCCACUGGAAAUGUUGAAAUGAA
Molecule: RNA transcript, 1863 nt
Organism: Gorilla gorilla gorilla (western lowland gorilla)
Lineage: Eukaryota; Metazoa; Chordata; Mammalia; Primates; Hominidae
Gene name: colorectal neoplasia differentially expressed
Exons: 7
Source: RefSeq, a predicted model, not a curated record